UGGCAAUAUUACGUUGAAACACCGGUUAUCGUAGGUUCACCGAAGUUAAGCAACGUCGAGCCUAAUCAGUACUUAGAUGGGUAACCGAUUCGGAAUAUCAGGUGUUGUAAG
Molecule: non-coding RNA, 111 nt
Organism: Acanthosepion pharaonis
Lineage: Eukaryota; Metazoa; Mollusca; Cephalopoda; Sepiida; Sepiidae
Source: the annotation of a GenBank genome assembly